GGGUUGUGACCGUGGCGUGCAUGUGAGUGGUUAUGGAUGUGGUUUCUUCGUCAGGCUCCCUGCUCUUUGUCUGCCGACUGACGAAUACCGUAUCGUUUUCGAAACCAUGCAUCAUAUUCUGCACGGUUUUGAUGUUGUCCUCGUGGGAAAUUGAUCCAGUUUGGAACGGAAGGUCAGGUGAUGCUAUUUGUAUCGUUCCCUCCUCUUAUUCCAGAGCUUAUGAGGGGCGUGCGAAGUUGGGGAAUCCUUCGAUGGCUGAUUCGAUUCGUAGAUCCACGUUAAUCGUUAGUGUUCCUUAAAAUGUUGCGGAUGUUAUGCAUUGCUAAAUACUCCGGGGAAGUCUUCCUUAGAUUAUACGAAUCGGUUUUGUCCGCACUUUUGAAAGACGCUUACACGGGAUCAUGGUGCCACUUCUAUUGUGAAGGAACGCAAAUGGCACCGUGUAGGAGCCUUAGAAGACGUGCUACCUGGUUGAUCCUGCCAGUAGUC
This 489-nucleotide unclassified non-coding RNA is filed under the name Allium triquetrum. RNAcentral describes it as "partial external transcribed spacer". The record is from RNAcentral. Lineage: Eukaryota; Viridiplantae; Streptophyta; Magnoliopsida; Asparagales; Amaryllidaceae.